RNAcentral lists this ribosomal RNA (490 nucleotides) under uncultured bacterium. RNAcentral's name for it is "partial 16S ribosomal RNA". It matches the Rfam family "Bacterial small subunit ribosomal RNA", at positions 29 to 505 of the family's 1533-position model. The record is from RNAcentral.
AGUGAACGCUGGCGGUAGGCCUAACACAUGCAAGUCGAACGGCAGCACAGUAAGAGCUUGCUCUUACGGGUGGCGAGUGACGGACGGGUGAGGAAUACAUCGGAAUCUACUUUUUCGUGGGGGAUAACGUAGGGAAACUUACGCUAAUACCGCAUACGACCUACGGGUGAAAGCAGGGGAUCUUCGGACCUUGCGCGAUUGAAUGAGCCGAUGUCGGAUUAGCUAGUUGGCGGGGUAAAGGCCCACCAAGGCGACGAUCCGUAGCUGGUCUGAGAGGAUGGUCAGCCACACUGGAACUGAGACACGGUCCAGACUCCUACGGGAGGCAGCAGUGGGGAAUAUUGGACAAUGGGCGCAAGCCUGAUCCAGCCAUACCGCGUGGGGGAAGAAGGCCUUCGGGUUGUAAAGCCCUUUUGUUGGGAAAGAAAAGCAGCAGGUUAAUACCCCGCUGUUCUGACGGUACCCAAAGAAUAAGCACCGGCUAACUUCG